Molecule: ribosomal RNA, 220 nt
Filed under: Meloidogyne incognita (southern root-knot nematode)
Lineage: Eukaryota; Metazoa; Nematoda; Chromadorea; Rhabditida; Meloidogynidae
Description: partial 16S ribosomal RNA
Source: RNAcentral
AUUAUUUUUUUAGAUUCUUUUUUAUUGUUGAAAAAAUUAAAAACAAAUUGUUUUUUACAAUAAUUAAAAUUUAUAAUAUUUCAAUUUUUAAUUUUUAGUUUUAAAUAAAAAUUACAAAUAUGAAAAAUAAAAAAAUUUUGUUAUAAAUUAAAUUAAUUUAUUUAUAUUAAAAAUAUUUUUUAUAAUUUUUAUUUUUUUUAUUUUUUUAAAAAAAAAAUAA